AACGGUGAAGCCCAGCUUGCUGGGGGAUCAGUGGCGAACGGGUCGAGUAACACGUGAGUAACCUGCCCCUGACUCUGGGAUAAGCCUUGGAAACGAGGUCUAAUACCGGAUACGUGACGCUCAGGCAUCUGAUGCGUCUGGAAAGAUUUAUCGGUCAGGGAUGGACUCGCGGCCUAUCAGCUUGUUGGUGGGGUAACGGCCUACCAAGGCGACGACGGGUAGCCGGCCUGAGAGGGCGACCGGCCACACUGGGACUGAGACACGGCCCAGACUCCUACGGGAGGCAGCAGUGGGGAAUAUUGCACAAUGGGCGCAAGUGUAAGCAGCGACGCCGCGUGAGGGAUGAAGCCUUUCGGGUUGAAAACCUUUUUCGCAAGGAAGAAGAGCAGUGACGUUCCUGCUGGAGGAGCCCCGGUAAACUUUCUUUCAGCUGCGGGUUAUGCCGUGGGCCCCAGGUUGUCCCGAAUUAUGGGCGAAAGAGCUCGAAGCGGGUAUCGGCCCUCUGUAAACUCAGGUUAAGCUUGGCUUGCAGUGGAUAGAGCCGGCUCGCUCCGUAGUGAGCU
This 563-nucleotide ribosomal RNA is filed under the name Cellulomonas hominis. RNAcentral describes it as "bacterial SSU rRNA". It matches the Rfam family "Bacterial small subunit ribosomal RNA", at positions 65 to 658 of the family's 1533-position model. Lineage: Bacteria; Bacillati; Actinomycetota; Actinomycetes; Micrococcales; Cellulomonadaceae. The record is from RNAcentral.